ACUCCUACGGGAGGCAGCAGUGGGGAAUAUUGGACAAUGGGCGAAAGCCUGAUCCAGCCAUGCCGCGUGUGUGAAGAAGGUCUUCGGAUUGUAAAGCACUUUAAGUUGGGAGGAAGGGCAGUUACCUAAUACGUAUCUGUUUUGACGUUACCGACAGAAUAAGCACCGGCUAACUCUGUGCCAGCAGCCGCGGUAAUACAGAGGGUGCAAGCGUU
This 215-nucleotide ribosomal RNA is filed under the name uncultured bacterium. RNAcentral's name for it is "partial 16S ribosomal RNA". It matches the Rfam family "Bacterial small subunit ribosomal RNA", at positions 335 to 542 of the family's 1533-position model. The record is from RNAcentral.